Molecule: long non-coding RNA, 1126 nt
Filed under: Erythranthe guttata (spotted monkey flower)
Lineage: Eukaryota; Viridiplantae; Streptophyta; Magnoliopsida; Lamiales; Phrymaceae
Description: long non-coding RNA (EGUT_LNC000658)
Source: RNAcentral
UUAUGCUUGGUAGAAGCUCCUAUAGAUUUGGGAUUUCUUAUUUAUAUUGUUUCUUGAACCCAUUACGCAUUGUUUUUCAAGAAAUAACAUAUUGUUUUUCAAUAAAAUGUUAUUUCGUUUUUUCCAAGUAAGCAUUGGGCUUAUGGGAAGAUUGAAGUUAGAUUUGAUUCUUUAAGUUUAGAUCAACUUUUACUUGCCCGUGUGUUUUUUUAGAAAAUGAAGAUGAGGUUUUUUAACCUGACAAGAAAGCACAAAUCAUUACCUCUGAUUUCAUUUACUUCGUACUUGUUUCUUCUUGAUUUUGCCAUUUUUUUUUUCAUUUUGGGUAUUCUUAACAUACUAUGUUUAAAGGUUUUAAUGGUUUUAUGAUUGGCCAUUUUUUUGUUAUAAGUAUUAUUGUAAUUUCUUUUUCUCAAAUUUUUCCUCAAUAAAAUUUUCUAUUUCUGUAGGUAAUUACACUGAUGAUGUAAACUGCAUGCUUUCUGACUUUAUUUAAAUUAGACCAACAAAGCACAUUCUUCCUCAGGUUCUUGCUUUGUACCAUAAGUCUCUAUUAGUAAAUGUUUUAUUGAUGUGCAUGGUGGUGUUUCGUUUUUUGUUCAUAAUAGUAUUUCUAAUGAUAGAAACCUUAAUCAUGAAUAGGCAACGAAUAAGCUCAUUUCAGCAUGUUUUUGCUCAACUUGGACAGAGAGAGAUCUUGUAUCUCUUUUAUUUUGUUUGUGUGUUUAAUUCAGGUUUUGAAGGGAGACAUAAUCUGGUGAGGUUUGUAAAACUAUUCAGAAAGCAGGAAUAUAUCUUUUUGGAGUGUAUGUUUUUGCAUAAUGUAAUUUUGGAUUAUUAUAAAGCUCUUGCCUAGCUAGAUCUAUGUUCCAAACAGGAUUUGUGCAUAACCGGUAAAGUUUACACCUAAGGGGAUGUGUUCUUAAUUUAUUAAUGUUUUUUUUUUUUUAUAGAUUAUUUGAAGCAGCAUCGAUCUCUUCGCUAAAACUUUGGAAGGUUUGUGCAUAUUAUUUUUUCUUAUUUGUAUGGUUGUAUUAUAUGUUUCUUUUGUUUCGAGAAUUCAAUAUCUACUGUAUAUGUUGUUGUUCUAUUUAUUUUAUUUUUUAAUGCACCUUAUCCUAUAAUA